GAUGAACGCUGGCGGUGUGCCUAACACAUGCAAGUCGAGCGAACAGACGAGGAGCUUGUUCCCUUGCCGUUAGCGGGGGACGGGUGAGUAACACGUGCAUAACCUUCUUAUUAUUCUGGGGUAAUUACGGGAAACAGGUGCUACUACCGGAUAAUAUAUCGAACGGGAGGAUUCAGGAGUGAAUGAGGGUUUUGCUGUUACUUAUAGACGGUGCCGUGCUGGAUUAGUGAGUGGGUAAGGUAAAGGCUAACCAAGGCGACGAUGCGUAGCCGAGCUGAGAGGGUGAUCAGCCACACUGGAACUGAGACACGGUCCAGACUCCUACGGGAGGCAGCAGUGGGGAAUCUUCGACAAUGGGCGGAAGCCUGAUCCAGCCAUACCGCGUGGGUGAAGAAGGUCUUCGGGUCGUAAAGCCCUUUUGUUAGGAAAGAAAAAAAGUAUGAUAAAACCCGGACGUUUUGACGGUACCUAAAGAGUAAGCCCCGGCUAACUUCGUG
This 497-nucleotide ribosomal RNA is filed under the name uncultured bacterium. Its description in RNAcentral is "partial 16S ribosomal RNA". It matches the Rfam family "Bacterial small subunit ribosomal RNA", at positions 28 to 507 of the family's 1533-position model. The record is from RNAcentral.